This 819-nucleotide ribosomal RNA is filed under the name Triticum aestivum (bread wheat). RNAcentral describes it as "partial small subunit ribosomal RNA". Lineage: Eukaryota; Viridiplantae; Streptophyta; Magnoliopsida; Poales; Poaceae. The record is from RNAcentral.
AUGGGCGCGGGGGCAGCGGGGCUGGAUGUGGCGGGGGCCGUGCCCGCCAAGCGGAGGCGGGUGCUGGCGGCCAAGACCAGAGUGGGUAGGCCGCGGCAAGCGAGGAGGCGCGCGCAGCCGCAGCCGCCGACGCCGCUGCAGCGGCUCUUUCGGGCCUGCCGCGCUGUCUUCAGGGGCCCCGGCACCGUGCCCGCGCCACCCGAGGUCGCCCUGCUCCGGGCCAUGCUCGACAGAAUGAGGCCAGAGGACGUCGGCCUGAGCCCAGACAUGAGAUUCUUCAGGACUAGAGACAAUACGGCCCAAGGGAACCCAACCAUCACACACACCACCAUAUACAAAUCUGACAAUUUCUCGAUGGUCAUCUUGUUCCUGCCGCAAAAUGCGGUCAUCCCUCUACACAAUCACCCCGGGAUGACCGUGUUCAGCAAGCCGCUCAUCGGAUCGAUGCAUAUAAAGUCGUACGACUGGGCCGAUCCUGAUGAUGAUCCAGCCGCCUCAUCGCCCGACGAUCAACUGAGGUUGGCGGAGCUGGUUGUGGAUGAUCUCUUCACGGCGCCUUGCAACACGUCGGUCCUCUACCCGACGGCGGGAGGCAACAUGCACCGUUUCACGGCCAUCGCGCCAUGCGCCAUCCUCGACAUCCUUGGCCCCCCUUACUCCAUCGAAGAGGACCGAGAUUGCACCUACUACGCGGAUGUUCCCUACUCCUCCCAGCAUCCCAAAGGCCGGCGCCUCGCGUGGCUGAAAGAGGUCGACAUGCCGAGGGAUCUGAAGAUGUGCAGCGUUCGGUAUGGUGGCCCGCGGAUCUCCGACAGGUGA